This 440-nucleotide ribosomal RNA is filed under the name Ophryotrocha puerilis complex sp. 'Deep'. RNAcentral describes it as "partial 16S ribosomal RNA". It matches the Rfam family "Bacterial large subunit ribosomal RNA", at positions 1817 to 2596 of the family's 2925-position model. Lineage: Eukaryota; Metazoa; Annelida; Polychaeta; Eunicida; Dorvilleidae. The record is from RNAcentral.
AGCCCCAUGGAAACCGAUAUGAGGUAAUACCUGCCCAGUGAGUUUUAAACGGCCGCUAAAGCGCUAAGGUAGCAUAAUGAUUUGCCCCUUAAUUGGGGGCUAGAAUGAAAGGUUAAACGGGUUAAAGCUUUCUUAAGUAUAACUCAACAAACUAAACUAUUUGUGAAAAUGCAAAUAUUUUACCGAAAGACCAAAAGACCCUAGGAGCUAUAAUUAACCAUACAACCAGUAUAGCUAAUUUUCAUUGGGGUAAUGUUGGAAAUCCAUCCAAAUAUAAAUAAUAUCGAUCAGGUACUAAUCUAAAUAAGCUACCCUAGGGAUAACAGGCUAAUCUUUUUUAAAAGUCCUAAUUAACAAAAAGAACUAGCACCUCGAUGUUGGCUUAAGAGUAUUUGUAGUGCAGCAACUAUAAUCAAGGGCUUGUUCCGCCCAUAAAUUCU